RNAcentral lists this ribosomal RNA (649 nucleotides) under Salmonella enterica. RNAcentral's name for it is "partial 23S ribosomal RNA". It matches the Rfam family "Bacterial large subunit ribosomal RNA", at positions 536 to 1191 of the family's 2925-position model. RNAcentral also lists the same sequence under 1 other name. The record is from RNAcentral. Lineage: Bacteria; Pseudomonadati; Pseudomonadota; Gammaproteobacteria; Enterobacterales; Enterobacteriaceae.
GAGCGAAAGCGACGUUCAACCGCAAAAGAAGCAGAGGGGGCUUAGUGGUGGGGUGACUGCGUACCUUUUGUAUAAUGGGUCAGCGACUUAUAUUCUGUAGCAAGGUUAACCGUAUAGGGGAGCCGGAGGGAAACCGAGUCUUAACCGGGCGUUAAGUUGCAGGGUAUAGACCCGAAACCCGGUGAUCUAGCCAUGGGCAGGUUGAAGGUUGGGUAACACUAACUGGAGGACCGAACCGACUAAUGUUGAAAAAUUAGCGGAUGACCUGUGGCUGGGGGUGAAAGGCCAAUCAAACCGGGAGAUAGCUGGUUCUCCCCGAAAGCUAUUUAGGUAGCGCCUCGUGAAUUCAUCUCCGGGGGUAGAGCACUGUUUCGGCUAGGGGGCCAUCCCGGCUUACCAACCCGAUGCAAACUGCGAAUACCGGAGAAUGUUAUCACGGGAGACACACGGCGGGUGCUAACGUCCGUCGUGAAGAGGGAAACAACCCAGACCGCCAGCUAAGGUCCCAAAGUCAUGGUUAAGUGGGAAACGAUGUGGGAAGGCCCAGACAGCCAGGAUGUUGGCUUAGAAGCAGCCAUCAUUUAAAGAAAGCGUAAUAGCUCACUGGUCGAGUCGGCCUGCGCGGAAGAUGUAACGGGGCUAAACCAUG